Molecule: ribosomal RNA, 250 nt
Filed under: uncultured bacterium
Lineage: Bacteria
Description: partial 16S ribosomal RNA
Rfam family: Bacterial small subunit ribosomal RNA
Source: RNAcentral
CACGUAGGCACCAAGCGUUGUCCGGAUUUAUUGGGCGUAAAGAGCUCGUAGGCGGUUCGGUAAGUCGGGUGUGAAAACUUUGGGCUCAACCCAAAGCGUGCACUCGAUACUGCCGUGACUAGAGUUCGGUAGGGGAGUGGGGAAUUCCUAGUGUAGCGGUGAAAUGCGCAGAUAUUAGGAGGAACACCGGUGGCGAAGGCGCCACUCUGGGCCGAAACUGACGCUGAGGAGCGAAAGCGUGGGUAGCAAA